GACGAACGCUGGCGGCGUGCUUAACACAUGCAAGUCGAACGGAAAGGCCCUGCUUUUGUGGGGUGCUCGAGUGGCGAACGGGUGAGUAACACGUGAGUAACCUGCCCUUGACUUUGGGAUAACUUCAGGAAACUGGGGCUAAUAUCGGAUAGGAGCUCCUGCUGCAUGGUGGGGGUUGGAACGUUUCGGCGGUAGGGGUUGGAUUCGCGGCUGACGAGUUUGUUGGUGGGGUAGUGGCUUACCAAGGCUUUGACGGGUAGCCGGCCUGGGAGGGUGACCGGCCACAUUGGGACUGAGAUACGGCCCAGACUCCUACGGGAGGCAGCAGUGGGGAAUAUUGCACAAUGGGCGGAAGCCUGAUGCAGCAACGCCGCGUGCGGGAUGACGGCCUUCGGGUUGUAAACCGCUUUCGCCUGUGACGAAGCGUGAGUGACGGUAAUGGGUAAAGAAGCACCGGCUAACUACGUG
Molecule: ribosomal RNA, 468 nt
Filed under: uncultured bacterium
Lineage: Bacteria
Description: partial 16S ribosomal RNA
Rfam family: Bacterial small subunit ribosomal RNA
Source: RNAcentral